AAGAGGCUUAGGUUAAUCCAAACCAAGGGCCUUCAAAGCCCUAAAUAAGAACUCAGCCCUCUUAGCCUCUG
Molecule: transfer RNA, 71 nt
Filed under: Egernia saxatilis
Lineage: Eukaryota; Metazoa; Chordata; Lepidosauria; Squamata; Scincidae
Description: tRNA-Trp
Source: RNAcentral